This 253-nucleotide ribosomal RNA is filed under the name uncultured bacterium. RNAcentral describes it as "partial 16S ribosomal RNA". It matches the Rfam family "Bacterial small subunit ribosomal RNA", at positions 524 to 776 of the family's 1533-position model. The record is from RNAcentral.
UACGUAGGGGGCAAGCGUUGUCCGGAUUUAUUGGGCGUAAAGAGCGUGUAGGCGGCCUGAAAGGUCAGCUGUGAAAACUCGAGGCUCAACCUCGAGACGCCGAUGGAAACCCCCGAACUAGAGUCCGGAAGAGGAGAGUGGAAUUCCCGGUGUAGCGGUGAAAUGCGCAGAUAUCGGGAAGAACACCCGUGGCUAAGGCGGCUCUCUAGUACGGUACUGACGCUGAGGCGCGAAAGCGUGGGGAGCGAACAGG